GCAAGCCUGAUGGAGCACACCGCGUGAGUGAAGAAGGGUUUCGGCUCGUAAAGCUCUGUUGUUGGAGAAGAACGUGCGUGAGAGUAACUGUUCACGCAGUGACGGUAUCCAACCAGAAAGUCACGGCUAACUACGUGCCAGCAGCCGCGGUAAUACGUAGGUGGCAAGCGUUAUCCGGAUUUAUUGGGCGUAAAGCGAGCGCAGGCGGUUGCUUAGGUCUGAUGUGAAAGCCUUCGGCUUAACCGAAGAAGUGCAUCGGAAACCGGGCGACUUGAGUGCAGAAGAGGACAGUGGAACUCCAUGUGUAGCGGUGGAAUGCGUAGAUAUAUGGAAGAACACCAGUGGCGAAGGCGGCUGUCUGGUCUGCAACUGACGCUGAGGCUCGAAAGCAUGGGUAGCGAACAGGAUUAGAUACCCUGGUAGUCCAUGCCGUAAACGAUGAGUGCUAGGUGUUGGAGGGUUUCCGCCCUUCAGUGCCGGAGCUAACGCAUUAAGCACUCCGCCUGGGGAGUACGACCGCAAGGUUGAAACUCAAAGAAAUUUGACGGG
RNAcentral lists this ribosomal RNA (549 nucleotides) under Limosilactobacillus reuteri. RNAcentral's name for it is "bacterial SSU rRNA". It matches the Rfam family "Bacterial small subunit ribosomal RNA", at positions 377 to 917 of the family's 1533-position model. The record is from RNAcentral. Lineage: Bacteria; Bacillati; Bacillota; Bacilli; Lactobacillales; Lactobacillaceae.